This 29-nucleotide non-coding RNA is filed under the name Rattus norvegicus (Norway rat). The record is from RNAcentral. Lineage: Eukaryota; Metazoa; Chordata; Mammalia; Rodentia; Muridae.
UGCUUGAUUUUUGUGGGAUGUUUUGGUUU